CGUCGUUCUUGGCCCAGGAGGUUAUGGGCUGUUUGCCAGUUGCGUCUUUAUAGCCGCAUGCACGACUCAAAGUGUCUGGAUUCAGGGAACUGUGAAAUCAUUCGUUGAUUUUUGUCGUUGAUCAAGGGGUCAUGAUUUAGGGGGUCCCAGACACCCCAAGAUGAAGUUAGGUCGACCGUAGGGGUAAGUCGUUUGCGCCACUUUUGCAUAGAUGGAGCUACUGUCGAAAACGAGAGGGGGAAAAAAACAUCCUACCCUUUCGACGUCCGAAGACAGACUGAAGCGCUUCGGCGCGAAGCAACUAGCUUAUAGCAGGGACGUGAUACUUUUUUAAAUAAAUUAAAAAAAGCAAUUGAGUUAUUCUAUAAUUUAUCCAAUUUCGAUUUUGAAUUAUAUAUUUAAUUUAAUUACUGAGGUAUAAGGGAUAGAGAUGUCGGUCCCUGGGGGCCCCAUAAAGGAGGAUAACAACUGACUCUACUAACGUUUGAUUUAAAUAAUCGAAUCUUCUUGGUUCAAUGUCAAUCCCAAUAUUUUAAUGUUAUUUACUUUAUUCCGUAAUGUACGAAAUCUGAUUCAACUUGACUCGAUAUUGCUCUUUUCAUUGGCUUCUCGUUGCACCAGCUAAAUACAGUUUUCCAGACUGCAUCUUGUUGACUCACCAAGAGAAAUCGCGAAAAGUUAUUCUUUUCUCCGCGAAGUUCAUUAGCACAGCAAAUUAGUGACUAUGCUUCAACUAGCACGUUUAAAGCGAGCAUCCUAAAGGUAUCGUGUUCGUUCUCUGUGCAUUUUCGAUGCGUCUGCACGCGUUCAGAAGGAAUGUCUCCCUUCUCCCCCGUCUUUGUUCAUUGUUCCGUCCCUGGGUGUGGUUUGAUACGUCUGCAUCUCAUUAAUUAUUUAAUGAAUUAUUAUUUCUUGAAAGAACUCUGGGAGAGACUAACCGAGAAAAUGUGUAGAUAAACGGUAGAUAAUUUCUUCCCCUAAUUGAGGCCAGUCCGAAUUACACGCGACUGUAUGUCGAGGGCACGAUUAUUUCGACCAACGUGGCCCACUCGAAGCUAGAUAAAGCACGCAUAAUUGGGAGGGAUGCUUCCAACCCUUCCUCGUUGACGCGCCGAGUCCUGUUUUAUCUCUGCCGAAUUCCUGAACGCCAGCUCAUCCUGUCUCAUUGUACCGUUGAUGCGACGCUAACAGCGAAGCAUGUCCGCGCAUUGAUUCGCAUGAAUCAGAAAUUAAAACGCAAAAUGUAUGCGCAGAAAUCUCUUGACUCAUAUUUGAUCGGCAAACAUUGAUGCGUCGAGCGCUAAGUACUAUAUUUUUCGCACCAUAUACGUACGAAAAUCGACGCAUUUUUUGCUCCUGCAAUAAUGAUAAGGAAAUAUUACUCGGUCCUAACCGCAGAUCUUUUCCUCGAUUAUAUCAUCGACGAUCACUCGUCUUCUGAAACAACAACGAAUAAAUCAUCUUCGAUACCGAAUCUCGCAUGAAACAUUUCACUUUCGUUCUUGUUUCAAGCGUAAUAGCAAGCAAACCUACAACCACCCACUUGGACGCCGCGCCGUUCAUUCAUCCACGAUCAUUUCCGCCGCCUUAAUGACACGCAGCCACCUACGACCGGUUCGGAAUAAAUUACGAUUCAUUUUCGUUCGAAAGGAAUGUAAUAAAGCCCUGCUCGGUCUUCUAUUCCCGUGGUUAGAGGCUCGUUCGAGCGCGAAAGCGACCGGCAAGUUCAGGAAUACCUGCGGAUGAAACCGGUCUCUCGAAAUCGUCUAACUCGACAGCCGCAAAAGAAGCAUCCGCGAAAUUCCAUUUAGAGCCGAGACUGCCCCCACUGCUGCCCCACCCCAAAGUUAUUUACUUUGUUGUUCGAAGAUUAAUCAUAAAUUUUUCUUUCUAAUCUUAGUUUCAUUUUUUCUUUUUUUUCUUUUCAUUUAUUCUUAGACGAUAACAACUUCUUUUUCAAUUACCUUCAUCGGUGACGUCGAAUCUUAUUACAACGUCGAUUAAAAGUUUUACAAGACUUUGGAACACCUUGUAACCGCUUUUUCC
Osmia bicornis bicornis is the source of this 2046-nucleotide long non-coding RNA. RefSeq lists it as uncharacterized. NCBI's taxonomy places the organism in Eukaryota, Metazoa, Arthropoda, Insecta, Hymenoptera, Megachilidae. The record is from RefSeq and is a predicted model, not a curated record. The transcript has 3 exons.